AGUGAACGCUGGCGGUAGGCCUAACACAUGCAAGUCGAACGGCAGCACAGUAAGAGCUUGCUCUUACGGGUGGCGAGUGGCGGACGGGUGAGGAAUACAUCGGAAUCUACUUUUUCGUGGGGGAUAACGUAGGGAAACUUACGCUAAUACCGCAUACGACCUACGGGUGAAAGCAGGGGAUCUUCGGACCUUGCGCGAUUGAAUGAGCCGAUGUCGGAUUAGCUAGUUGGCGGGGUAAAGGCCCACCAAGGCGACGAUCCGUAGCUGGUCUGAGAGGAUGAUCAGCCACACUGGAACUGAGACACGGUCCAGACUCCUACGGAGGCAGCAGUGGGGAAUAUUGGACAAUGGGCGCAAGCCUGAUCCAGCCAUACCGCGUGGGUGAAGAAGGCCUUCGGGUUGUAAAGCCCUUUUGUUGGGAAAGAAAAGCAGCAGGUUAAUACCCCGCUGUUCUGACGGUACCCAAAGAAUAAGCACCGGCUAACUUCGUG
RNAcentral lists this ribosomal RNA (491 nucleotides) under uncultured bacterium. Its description in RNAcentral is "partial 16S ribosomal RNA". It matches the Rfam family "Bacterial small subunit ribosomal RNA", at positions 29 to 507 of the family's 1533-position model. The record is from RNAcentral.